This 3014-nucleotide long non-coding RNA is filed under the name Nicotiana benthamiana. RNAcentral describes it as "long non-coding RNA (NBEN_LNC024941)". Lineage: Eukaryota; Viridiplantae; Streptophyta; Magnoliopsida; Solanales; Solanaceae. The record is from RNAcentral.
GGGGAUUGAACAUAAUUCCAGAUAUUUGGAGAGGAAAAAAGCUGCUAAGUAAAAAUACGGAGAGAAAAAGAGAACACAGAGAGAAAUAUUGAUAAGUAUCACUGUGUCACUAAAAUUCUUUUCCGGCUUCAGUGAUUUCAUUUUCUUGAUUCAAACACAUUAGACUGAUCUUGAGUGACCUUGAGUCCAGCUGAAGUGGUUUCUGAUUGAACUUUAGCCUAUUGGAAGUUGAAGUGAUUCUCGUUGUUUCUUGGAGUUCGUUUGAUUUGUUUUGGUACUGUUGAGGGUCAAUCUUUUGGUUUCUAUUUGGAUUUUGGGUUAUUGAAUCAUUCCUGGGUUAAAGAAUAGUCGUGUCGUGGUUGUGUGAAAUUCCUAACAGCUAUUGACUGCCCUGCUGUGCUAACUGCAUCUGUUCCCUGUUGAUUUCUUAUUUCCAGGUACACAAUUUGAACUCACCUUGAUGUAACUGCAGAUUUGAAUGAAACCAUAUUUUCAGAGCCAUGCUCGUUUGGAAUACAUAUAACUGUAUUUGAUCCUUUGUUGUGUAAUGUACUUAUUCAGUUCAUCUAAUUUGUGUUGUAUUAAGGACAAUAUAAUUUGAACCAUUUUUGAACUAUUUAGACCAUUCGAUUCAUACUGGACCAUAUUUGGAUUGUGUUGUUUUGGACGUCCAAUUCGUGAUAGGUUGCUAAACUUUAUAACUGUAUAGUUGUCCUGAUAGUAACAUUACUUUUAAUGUAAUUUGCAACACUGAUAUUAGAGGCUAUUAGCAUUAGAAUGAACAUGUAGCAAUCAUUGAGAUUUUGAAUAACUGGAGUAUUUUAUGAAUUGUGUUAACUGAACCGUUAAGCUAAUUCGAGGUUUUCUUAAAAGAGUUUAUUUUUUUUUUGUAUUCAACGGUGUCAUCUUAAUUUAGUGUAAAUCCAAAUGCGUAUUAGCAAGUAUCAAUUUGAUUAGGUAUUAGAUUGUUGUUUGUUAGCUCGUAAGUAGAAGUAGCAGUUAUUAUUAUAUGAAUAAAACCGGACCAAUAGAUUUUCAGAUUUCUGUUUGAGCGAGCUUUUUGCUUCUAAUUUCUUUUGUUAUUAUAGGAUGGAAGGUGGAAUUCCCUAAUAUAAUUAAUCCUCACCUUGUUGUUCCCUUUAUACACAAAGUUUUUGAUUACCAACAAUUGUAGCGACGCUAUCAGUAGUACCAUAUUCCAUUGGGAUUAGUGAGUAGGUAGAACAAAAAUGGCCACUAAUUUCUUAGAAUCAACAUGUAUGCCAUAUUUUAUUUAUAAUUCCAAUUUUUAGUAAUAUUCACUCAUAGGAUAAGGCACGAAAUAAUCUUCCUUUGAAAAAUUGCAAUUGUAAUUUUUCGUUAGCAUUUGGCUUAAGCUAGUAACUAAUAAGUUAACGGCCUUUUCAAGCUUAUAAUUAAUUUGGAGUUUUUCUUUUAUUUUAAAGAUAAUUUUAAUAGAAAAGUGUAGUCACUUUAGGAUAUCCCUAAAAUAAAGGAGGCGUGCCUCGCCACAGUACAUUACAGAUCGCAGGGCCCUCGAUAAUUGUUUGAAUUAAAAUACUUAGAAUCCGGGUUGGGCUGUUUAGCGAAUUUCACGGCUCUCCUUAAAUAAUAACGUGUUAGUCUCUUUUAGACGCGAUUCUAAUAAAAUUAUAUUCCUAAAUUUGGGUAUACAUUUAUGUGACCCAAAUCCAAAUCUCAAAGAAGUCGGAACACAUCAAAAAUUGCGGAUACAUUUAUGUGACGCAGUUCGAGAUGCAUUCUCACGACGUUGCAAUUCUAGUAAAAAUAAUCAAUAAAAGCGACUAAAAGUUAAAAUUGGCACAUAAGUUAUAACAUGUAUAAAAAUAAGAUAUUUAGCCAUUACAACGAUUUAUGCGACUGUGCUAGAACCACGGGAUCCGGGGGUGCCUAACACCUUCCCUCGGGUCAACAGAAUUCCUUACUUAAUAUUUCUGGUUCGCAGACUUCAUUUGGAAAGUCGAAUAUUUUCCUCGAAUUGUGAUUCAAGACAAACUGGUGACUUGGGACACCAAAAGCCAAAUCUUUCCCAAUAGGCGACUCUGAAAUAAAUAAAUAAUUCCAUUUCAAAUAUUGUCACUUAAAUUGGAUAAACUCCCUUGUGCAUUUAUCCCUAGGGGUGGGUGCGCAAAAAGGAGGUGUGACAGCCGUCAUGACAGGUUCAUAAUUGGUGAACUAGGGUCGUGACACAAGAAGUAACGAAGACUGCUGGAGUGGUUCACGGUGUACAGGAAAAGAAAUUAAUUUGCAUACGAUCAACAAAUCAUUGUGGAAUCUAAUCGCAAAUCAAUCAACAAUAACAAUGAUUAGCUGAGCUGGAAAGAAUCAAAUAAGCCUUGGGCAAAGGCACAAAUCAACGACAGAAUCAUGGAGGAUUGAAGGAUACGAGGAGAUAUGGUACGCGACCGCAUUUGAAAGAACCAACACUCAAGGAGCAAUCUUCACUCGUAUAUCUGCUGAUGGAAAGCAAUCAAGAGAAACAACGACUCAUUCCUUAUUCUUGGAAAGAAUCAAUUCUUUCCAAGGAUCAAAUCUCUUGGGUUGUCAAACCUCUACUAUCCAUCAAAGUAUUUAUAACUCGUUGUAAGCCUAGUUUACAUAUACUUUGAUCAAACCAAAAUCACUCUCUUUAUUCUACUUUAAACAAGCAUUGUAGUUUACUAAGAUUUGUUGUGUAACAAGUCAGGGAAAGAAAGGGAGCAUAAUACCGGUGAAACAUUGUAUCAAAAACAAGUGCUUGAGAAACUAAGUGAAAAUCACCACAACUAUACUCGGAAGAAACUCAUUUACUAAAGAGAACUCCCUUGCAACCCAAGGGGACUGGAUUAGGAUUCACAUUGAAUUCGAACCAGUAUAAAAAUCCUUGUAUUUUUAAUUCCUGCAAUUACUUUCUGCAAUUUACUUCCUGUUAUUAUAUCUGUAACUUAUUCUAUUUAGUCGACUACUCAAGUAAUAAGUUAACUAAUAAGCAAUUAUUUUUAAAGAGUUACAAU